RNAcentral lists this ribosomal RNA (254 nucleotides) under uncultured bacterium. Its description in RNAcentral is "partial 16S ribosomal RNA". It matches the Rfam family "Bacterial small subunit ribosomal RNA", at positions 524 to 776 of the family's 1533-position model. The record is from RNAcentral.
UACGUAGGGGGCGAGCGUUAUCCAGAUUUACUGGGCGUAAAGCGCGUGUAGGCGGCUGGUUAGGUGUGAUGUGAAAUCCUCGGGCUCAACCCGAGAACUGCAUUGCAAACCGGCCUGGCUAGAGUGCAGGAGAGGGAAGCGGAAUUCCAGGUGUAGCGGUGAAAUGCGUAGAUAUCUGGAGGAACACCGGUGGCGAAGGCGGCAUCCUGGACCGAGAUUGACGCUGAUGCGCGAAAGCCAGGGGAGCAAACGGG